Molecule: transfer RNA, 73 nt
Filed under: Kamptonema sp. SIO1D9
Lineage: Bacteria; Bacillati; Cyanobacteriota; Cyanophyceae; Oscillatoriales; Microcoleaceae
Also listed under: 1 other name
Description: tRNA-Lys
Rfam family: tRNA
About the family: Transfer RNA (tRNA) molecules are approximately 80 nucleotides in length.
Source: RNAcentral
GGGUCGCUGGCAGAGUGGUUGAUGCAAUCGGCUUUUAACCGAUUUUAGGUAGGUUCGAUUCCUACGCGACCCU